RNAcentral lists this ribosomal RNA (253 nucleotides) under uncultured bacterium. RNAcentral describes it as "partial 16S ribosomal RNA". It matches the Rfam family "Bacterial small subunit ribosomal RNA", at positions 524 to 776 of the family's 1533-position model. The record is from RNAcentral.
UACGUAGGGUGCGAGCGUUGUCCGGAAUCACUGGGCGUAAAGAGCUCGUAGGUGGUUUGUCUCGUCGGCUGUGAAAUUCCGGGGCUUAACUCCGGGAGUGCAGGCGAUACGGGCAAACUGGAGUGCUGUAGGGGAGACUGGAAUUCCUGGUGUAGCGGUGGAAUGCGUAGAUAUCAGGAGGAACACCGAUGGCGAAGGCAGGUCUCUGGGCAGUUAUUGACACUGAGGAGCGAAAGCAUGGGUAGCGAACAGG